UAGGGAAUCUUCGGCAAUGGGGGGAACCCUGACCGAGCAACGCCGCGUGAGUGAAGAAGGUUUUCGGAUCGUAAAGCUCUGUUGUUAAGGAAGAACGAGUGUGAGAAUGGAAAGUUCAUACUGUGACGGUACUUAACCAGAAAGGGACGGCUAACUACGUGCCAGAAGCCGCGGUAAUACGUAGGUCCCGAGCGUUGUCCGGAUUUAUUGGGCGUAAAGCGAGCGCAGGCGGUUAGAUAAGUCUGAAGUUAAAGGCAGUGGCUCAACCAUUGUAGGCUUUGGAAACUGUUUAACUUGAGUGCAGAAGGGGAGAGUGGAAUUCCAUGUGUAGCGGUGAAAUGCGUAGAUAUAUGGAGGAACACCGGUGGCGAAAGCGGCUCUCUGGUCUGUAACUGACGCUGAGGCUCGAAAGCGUGGGGAGCGAACAGG
This 429-nucleotide ribosomal RNA is filed under the name Bacteroidota bacterium. RNAcentral describes it as "Bacteroidetes bacterium partial 16S ribosomal RNA". It matches the Rfam family "Bacterial small subunit ribosomal RNA", at positions 355 to 776 of the family's 1533-position model. Lineage: Bacteria; Pseudomonadati; Bacteroidota. The record is from RNAcentral.